RNAcentral lists this ribosomal RNA (524 nucleotides) under uncultured bacterium. Its description in RNAcentral is "partial 16S ribosomal RNA". It matches the Rfam family "Bacterial small subunit ribosomal RNA", at positions 28 to 523 of the family's 1533-position model. The record is from RNAcentral.
GACGAACGCUGGCGGCGUGCUUAACACAUGCAAGUCGAACGAGACGAUUGAAAGCUUGCUUUCGAAAGUCGAGUGGCAAACGGGUGAGUAACGCGUAGACAACCUGCCUUUGAGAUGGGGACAACAGUUCGAAAGGACUGCUAAUACCGAAUGUUGUAUAUUUUCCACAUGGAAGAUAUACUAAAGAUGGCCUCUAUUUAUAAGCUAUCGCUCAAAGAUGGGUCUGCGUCUGAUUAGCUGGUUGGUGGGGUAACGGCCUACCAAGGCGACGAUCAGUAGCCGGUCUGAGAGGAUGAACGGCCACAUUGGGACUGAGACACGGCCCAGACUCCUACGGGAGGCAGCAGUGGGGAAUCUUCCACAAUGGACGAAAGUCUGAUGGAGCAACGCCGCGUGAGUGAAGAAGGGUUUCGGCUCGUAAAGCUCUGUUGUCGGGGACGAAUGUGCAGUAUUUGAAUAAAGUAGUGUAAUGACGGUACCUGACGAGGAAGCCACGGCUAACUACGUGCCAGCCGCCGCGGUAA